CAGAAUUCAGACACACCUCCAAGGCCAGACCGCUUGCCUCUUGAUGAGAAAGGACAUGUAACGUGGUCAUUUCAUGGACCUGAAAAUGCCAUACCCAUACCUGAUUUAUCUGAAGGCAAUUCCUCAGAUAUCAACUAUCAAACUAGGAAAACUGUGAGUUUAACACCAAGUCCUACAACACAAGUUGAAACACCUGAUCUUGUGGAUCAUGAUAACACUUCACCACUCUUCAGAACACCCCUCAGUUUUACUAAUCCACUUCACUCUGAUGACUCAGACUCAGAUGAAAGAAACUCUGAUGGUGCUGUGACCCAGAAUAAAACUAAUAUUUCAACAGCAAGUGCCACAGUUUCUGCUGCCACUAGUACUGAAAGCAUUUCUACUAGGAAAGUAUUGCCAAUGUCCAUUGCUAGACAUAAUAUAGCAGGAACAACACAUUCAGGUGCUGAAAAAGAUACACCUGUAAGAUCGGAAUGGAGUGAACUUCAAAGUCAGGAACGAUCUGAACAAAAAAAGUCUGAAGAUGGUGAUUAACAAAGGCUUUGUGUUGCUACUUAGAUCAUCCAGCGGGAGGUAUUCACUAUGAAAUGUGCAUAGAAUGUCCACCUACUUUCAGUGACAAGAGAGAACAAAUAUCAGAAAAUCCAACAGAAGCCACAGAUAUUGGUUUUGGUAAUCGAUGUGGAAAACCCAAAGGACCAAGAGAUCCACCUUCAGAAUGGACAUGAUUCAGGGAGCUAGAAGACACUUUAAGUUAUACUGGAAAAUUCAGGUGCCACUGAAAGCCAGAUUUAUAGUAUUCCAUCUUUAAUAUGUGGGACUAACAGCAGUGUAGAUUGUUACCUUAAUAUUUUUUGCUGGGACCAUCUACCUGCCUUAUACUACACUUA
Molecule: long non-coding RNA, 890 nt
Filed under: Homo sapiens (human)
Lineage: Eukaryota; Metazoa; Chordata; Mammalia; Primates; Hominidae
Description: HSALNT0124667
Source: RNAcentral